CAUGCACCAGUGGGGUCCCUCGGCCUGGCCUGCGCCCUCUCACAAUCUGGGACCCCUCAAGGGGUAUCAGAGAGCUGGUUUCAGCCCAAUCCCACAGGCCAGGCCGAGGGACCCCACUGGUGCACA
RNAcentral lists this microRNA precursor (126 nucleotides) under Myotis davidii. RNAcentral's name for it is "mir-9193 microRNA precursor family". It matches the Rfam family "mir-9193 microRNA precursor family". Lineage: Eukaryota; Metazoa; Chordata; Mammalia; Chiroptera; Vespertilionidae. The record is from Rfam by way of RNAcentral.